GGUUCAGACUCAACUUCCAGUCGACUGUCAGAGAAGGAGGAGCAGCCUAACUGAAGAUGAGUGAUGUGGGUGAAGAGGAGGACAGAGCAGAGUCUGUGGACAGGGAAGAGACGCCAGCUGCUCCUGCAGAGUCCAGAGAGAAGAAGAGCAGUGAUGUCUGUGAGGAGCAGCAGGACCAGGGUUCUUCAUCAGGAC
Salarias fasciatus (jewelled blenny) is the source of this 195-nucleotide long non-coding RNA. RefSeq lists it as uncharacterized. The record is from RefSeq and is a predicted model, not a curated record. The transcript is spliced from 3 exons. Lineage: Eukaryota; Metazoa; Chordata; Actinopteri; Blenniiformes; Blenniidae.